GCCGAGCUGGUGGAAUUGGUAGACACAAGGGACUUAAAAUCCCUCGACAGCUUAAACCGUCGUGCCGGUUCGAUUCCGGUGCUAGGCA
This 88-nucleotide transfer RNA is filed under the name Treponema sp. Its description in RNAcentral is "tRNA-Leu". It matches the Rfam family "tRNA". Rfam says of the family: Transfer RNA (tRNA) molecules are approximately 80 nucleotides in length. Lineage: Bacteria; Pseudomonadati; Spirochaetota; Spirochaetia; Treponematales; Treponemataceae. The record is from RNAcentral.